CGGGCGGUCCUCAAGGAGGGGAGAGCGAGACGCGCACGCGCUGCGCCGGGUCUCCGCUGUUUUCUUUCUUUUCUUUUUUUUUUCCCCUCUCUCUCUUGUCACCAGGAUCGAGCGCCAACCGGGACGAAGCUCUUUAGAACGAGGCGGACCGCGCGCGGCUCGUCGUGAGCAAACCCCACUCUGUCCCGAGCUUUCUCGGCUGCGGUUGUUGUUGCCAUGAUGAUGACGUCAUGAGACGGCCACCUUGGGGAUGGGGGGGUGGCGGUUGGGGAGCGAAAAAGGUUGGAUUCUUUUUUUUUCCUCGCGUAAGCAGCUUCAGCUCCAAGGCGACUUUAAUAACCGCCGCGCACGUUUGGGCUUAACAGAAUCAUUGCUAUCGAUAGUUCGGCUUUCGAACUCCAAGGGCUGGGAAAAGUUAUACGGAGAGCGCAGUCGCGAUUAGGGACGGGACUGAUAACUUGUAAAGAGAUCAUAUUUAGCCGCCAUUUCAGAAAUCGAGCCCCUUUAGCUCAAAGGGAAGGAAGGCUGAAGCUAUGAUCUUAGGCUUUUCCAUGGACGAUUUAAUCAGGCCCAAGGUCUGUCCCUAUUUUGAAAAGUUGAAUUCACUGGUUAAGCUUUACUACAUGCAACCAACACGUGAAAGCAGUACCGUCUGAGCAACAAGGCUAUCUGUUUGAUGGUAAAAAGAGAAUACAAACAGAAAAUCAGUUAAUAUAAGCACCUCUGUAUUGUAGCCCUCAAAUAGAUGGCAAGGGUUUUUAAAAACAUGCUACUUAAUUCUAGUAAGUAUCAUACUAUUCAGUCUGCUUUGCCUAGAAAAAAACAGUCCCAGCAGUACCCCUUAGCCUAACUAAUGCUACAGAGAUAUUGAGACAAUAAAACAAUAACCUUGACCGAUAUUAGUCCAGAGAGCAUUAUUCUGCAAAUUGCAAAAAAGACUUAUUUAUAAAACAGGGGGAGUGAUAUAAGCAUCUGUUUUGCUUCCAAACUGACAGUCUCUAGACCACCCAUGUCUGAUAUUAGAGGCAACUAGUGGAGAUCUUGUAUAAAAUGUUAAAAUAAACAGUUGUCUCCCUAACAGGAAUGUUUCUCUUCCAUUAACUUCAUAACAAUGUUUAAGAGACACAGGAAUUGGGAAAGAUAAUAUAAUGAAUGAAAAACAAUUUCUUGUCACACCUUAUUGCUUUAUUAUAAUACAGUAAAGGACUCAGGAUUGGGGCUGUGUUCAAUCCCAUUUUGAACUCAGUAUUACUAUAUGUCAAAAGGAAGAUGUUUUUGAAGAGUCUGUUUUCAUUUCCUGUUUCCUGAAACCCCUUUCCUGUUCAGGUUGAAAGACUCAAUACUCUGCCAUUUGGUUUGGUUGCCUUCGAUCCUUCUCAGGCUAAUGGAGCCAUUCAACCCAUGUCUUCCAAACUCCAACCUCAGAGACCUCCAGAAAGCUGGAAACCUCCCUAGACCAUUUGCCAUUUUCAUGGCUUAAAAAGCGGUCUGUUCCCCCCCCCUUCUUUCUGAGCAUUUGGAGGAACUUUUUUAAUGGAGAAAAUUGUUGGCUGUUAGCCAUCUUGAAUUUUAAGCAGUAAAAUGAGGUAAACAUUUAAAUAAUAUAUAGAUAAACAAGUCCUCACAAUGUAUCAUUUUCUGUCCUUGAAAUAAACUGCUUAUUAUCU
This is a non-coding RNA of Pantherophis guttatus, 1667 nucleotides long. NCBI's taxonomy places the organism in Eukaryota, Metazoa, Chordata, Lepidosauria, Squamata, Colubridae. The record is from RefSeq and is a predicted model, not a curated record.